UAGAGUUUGAUCCUGGCUCAGGAUGAACGCUGGCGGUCUGCUUAACACAUGCAAGUCGAACGCAACCUUCGGGUUGAGUGGCGGACGGGUGAGUAACGCGUGAGAAUCUGCCUUGGGGUCGGGGACAACCACUGGAAACGGUGGCUAAUACCGGAUAAGCCUUUGGGUAAAAAAUUUAUUGCCCCAAGAGGAGCUCGCGUCUGAUUAGCUAGUUGGUGAGGUAAGAGCUCACCAAGGCAGCGAUCAGUAGCUGGUCUGAGAGGACGAUCAGCCACACUGGGACUGAGACACGGCCCAGACUCCUACGGGAGGCAGCAGUGGGGAAUUUUCCGCAAUGGGCGAAAGCCUGACGGAGCAAGACCGCGUGAGGGAGGAAGGCUCUUGGGUUGUAAACCUCUUUUCUCAGGGAAGAAGCUCUGACGGUACCUGAGGAAUCAGCCUCGGCUAACUCCGUGCCAGCAGCCGCGGUAAUACGGAGGAGGCAAGCGUUAUCCGGAAUUAUUGGGCGUAAAGCGUCCGCAGGUGGCGAUUCAAGUCUGCUGUCAAAGCACGGGGCUUAACUCCGUUAAGGCAGUGGAAACUGAAUAGCUAGAGUGCCGUAGGGGUAGAGGGAAUUCCCGGUGUAGCGGUGAAAUGCGUAGAGAUCGGGAAGAACAUCGGUGGCGAAAGCGCUCUACUGGACGGCAACUGACACUCAGGGACGAAAGCUAGGGGAGCGAAUGGGAUUAGAUACCCCAGUAGUCCUAGCUGUAAACGAUGGAUACUAGGUGUAGCUUGUAUCGACCCGAGCUGUGCCGAAGCUAACGCGUUAAGUAUCCCGCCUGGGGAGUACGCACGCAAGUGUGAAACUCAAAGGAAUUGACGGGGGCCCGCACAAGCGG
Molecule: ribosomal RNA, 881 nt
Filed under: uncultured organism
Description: bacterial SSU rRNA
Rfam family: Bacterial small subunit ribosomal RNA
Source: RNAcentral